This 3995-nucleotide long non-coding RNA is filed under the name Lactuca sativa (garden lettuce). Its description in RNAcentral is "long non-coding RNA (LSAT_LNC009639)". Lineage: Eukaryota; Viridiplantae; Streptophyta; Magnoliopsida; Asterales; Asteraceae. The record is from RNAcentral.
UUUUUUGCAAUCGUAACUGACCAUCAACAUUAAUCUACACAUAAUCAACAAUUGAUAUGGAGUAAUCUUCUCCGAUUAAUCUAAAGGUAAUUGAUAUAAGUCCAUUAUGUUCUCAAUUUUCUCAAUUUCCUUUGCUUAUUUCUUCUCUUUCUCUCUUUCUCUCACCAAGCCCUAAUGUUUGCACUGAAUUUCAAUUCCCAAACCUUCAGUCUUUUUCUCGCCAAUCCCGAAUGAAUGCUAAUCCGCAUCCGCCACCAUCACCACCACCAUAUGAAUGAAUGCUAAUUUCUAAACAUUCGGUCUUUCUCUCGCCAAUCUCUAUCCCUCUCCCUGUCUCUCUGUCUCUAUCAAGAGUUGAUGAUUUGAUCUGAUGAAUACGAUAUCCUCAAUAUCUUCCCCAAAGUUGAUCAUUCUAAGGUAUUCUUUAUGUGAUUUUAUUCAAAAAAAAUUUAACUAAUUUAAGUUUGAGUAUUAAUCGCUUGUUGGAUUAUGUUCAAUUUUAAUUUGACCUAAUUUUACUUUAUUUUGGUGGUCUUAUGAAUAUGAUUUUUGGUCUAUGCGUUCUUAUCUGUUGGCGAUAGAUAUAUCUCUAAUCUAUAUACCAAAUGCUUUUGUUCAACAAUGUCUAUUGUUUAGGGGUUGCUUGUAAUACACAAAAUUCAUCCAUGUUUUCCAUUUGUCAAAGUAGAAUUCACAGGAUCUAUUUGUUUAACUCGAAUUAUAGACAUUGCUCACAACAUCUAUUUCUUUUAACAGGCUGGAUUUGGAUACUAGAGUACAGGUUUUCACAUGUUUUAAUCUUUGUAUUGUUAUUGUUAAAUUUAAUCUAUUUCUGUUAUUAUAGUAUGCAUUGAAUUUGGAGGAGUAAGAUAUUGCAAAGCAAUUGAGAACAAACUCAAUGAGGCUUGAUAAUCUUAUCUAUUAACUUAUCCAUUUCAUUCCAUUCAAUUAUUUUGUCAUUCUAUUUCAUUCCAUUCAACCAAACAAACCUUAAAGAUUCAUGUAACUGUCAAAUAUAUCAAAAGCAUCCAUUCAGAACGACAAAUUUGAACAAAAUUUUGGACCUAAAUCAAUAUUAUCAAUUUGUUUUUAAUGAUGAUCACAAUUAAAUAUGUAAAACUUUUGAAAUUUUGAAAAAAAAACCUUUGCAAUUUUUCAUGAGCAUAUGAAUGACAUACGUUAACUUAACGUUCUAAUAUUUUCUAUAUAAGGUUGAAGCUGAAGUGAUUAAGCAACAUGAAACAAAGAAUGAAUUAUCUAUAGAAAGUGAAGCUCAAGAAAUAAAAUUUAUUUGGUUUAUCUAUAAAAAAGAUUAAAGAAUUGAAUUAAUAUAAUAAUGCAAAUAUGUUGUAUUUUGCUUAAUAGAUGAAAUAAAAUAUAACAAUUUAAUAUGUUCAAAUUUCCUAUAAUGUUUGCGUGAAAUGAUAAUAAGAGGAGUUGGAACUCAUGGAAGUAAGGGAAAAAGAUAUAAUUUAUUUGGUUUAUUUAUUUUUGCUUAUUUCUUAAAAAUACUUAUUAACAAAAUAAAAGAUCCAAAAUUAUUUGAUAAAAUAGGUAUAAUAAAUGAUGAAACAUGUGUUUUUAAUACUGUAAUGCUUCAAACUUUAUAAAAAAAUAUAAUGUUUUCAUUAAUAAUUAUUAUUCUUAUAGUUUAUAUGUUAUAUUAUUUUGUAACCCGUGGAUUCCACGGGUUGUAACCUAGUNNNNNNNNNNNNNNNNNNNNNNNNNNNNNNNNNNNNNNNNNNNNNNNNNNNNNUAUAUAUAUAUAUAUAUCUUAUUACUUUAAUAAACAUUUACCCUAAAAUGCUGAAUUUUAAGAGGUACAACCUCUUAUACAAUAUGUAUAAUAACUUUAUGCUUUAAAAAAUCAUGAAUCUGUCAACGUUUGAAAAUAUCAAAUAGAACGAUAAAAUUUUGAAUGGUUCAAAGUUUGACCAAGUACUACGGAUAUCCGAUUGAAUCGGUCUUCAUGAAACCUAAAAUACGCCGUCCAUAACUUAGCCUCUACUACAACCACUCACCGCUACUGUUACAGGCUUCUGCAACCGCCACCAUGAUCUAUACCCCAAUCUCCUUAACGCCUCGUUCCCGAGUUUAACAAAAGAAAAGAAGAGAAGAGAAAAUAAAGUCACGAGAGAAAAGAAGAGAACGGAAAGGAAAACAAAAUUUUCUUUUGUGUUCCCGAGUUGGAGAGAAGUGGAAGGAAAAUGAGUCAUUUUGUUCUUUCUUUCCAAAUCCUCCAAAAUCGGAAGGAAAGUUAGGAAGGAAAGUGAUCCUCUCAUUUCCCUUCACUUCCUUCCACUUCUCUCCUUUAAUGAAACUUGGAAACACCAAUUUAUUUUUAUUUUCUUCUAAUUUCCACUCAUUUCCUUUCCUUUCUUUACUUAAGUUGAACUCGGGAACGGGUGUAAAUGAUGACAUAUCUCUCUCUCUCACACACACACUGUCUCUCUCUCUCUCUCUCUCUCAUAUUUUCCCUCCAAACACGAAUGUUGUUCUCCCCCUUCAUAUCUAUGAUCAGUUAACACCACCGCCUCUUACUUCCCUAACCGGUGACCUCCACCACCACACACCGUCGUCUACACCACCAUCAUCAGUUUUUAUCUAUUUAAUAUCUUUUUGAUUUAUGUUUUAAAUAGAUUUUUAGGAAUCCAAUGAAGUCAGCAGCGCCAUUACCACAGUCUUUUCCAGUCACCGCCCUCAGGUAAUAUUUCACAUAAUCUCUAUUUCACCUUCUUUCUUUCUCUUAUCUUCUUUUAUUGCAGUCACCAUCGCACACCACCCUCUUCUCUCUAAGAAACCGAAGACACCCCAAAUCUAAACCCUAGAAACCAUAGAAUAUCAGACCAUCUUCGUAGGGUAAAAUAUCAUAUAUGUUGUUUCAUGAUCUAAAAGAUGUGAACUUGAAAAUCUUUUAGGGGUUUUGAUUUGCAGGUUGUUUUUUGGGUUUUCCCUGAUGUCUGCCACCACCAUCCAAGUAGGUAAUUCUCAAAUGAAUCAUCCAUUCUUUUUAAUAGCCCACUCCUAACUUAAAACAUUAUUAAAUUUUUGUGAAGGAUUUUGUGCUAAGUUUUAUGCUUUGACUAAGGAUUUUGGGAUUCUGACUACAUGAUUUCUGGAAAUAAGUUUUCAUCCUCAAAGAAAAUAUUAAAAAAAAACCAGGUUUGAUCUUGGCAAAUUUAUUUUUCAUUUUUGUUGGUUUUCUGGGGAUUAUACAUGUAACUAUCAGUCUAUCAUUCACAUUGAUUAUUGAUACUCUUAUGUGUACAAGGAAAUUGCAUAUAAAGUGUUUGUAGAAAUGCUUGAGAGAGAGCAUAACAAUAGGCGAGUAUAAGCUCUACAAAAUCUUUCUUUAUGCUCUUUUUUUUUUUUACAAAAAUCUAUUCCUGAUUGCGUCUAUAGUUCUUAUUAUAUGGCAUUAUCAAUUUUAAGACACUGCAUAUGUAUGGAAACAUUCUCGCUUAAGAACAUUUUUCAAGCAUGUAUGGAAGUACCUUUUAUUUUUUAAUUAUUUAGCAACAUGUUUCCUUCUUUUUCCCCCCUAUAUUAUUGUUGUUUUGCUCUGUACUUUAAUUAUUAAAACAUUGAUGUUAAGAUCUGGGAAGAUUUGAUGUGGGUUUUGUUUAUUUAAUUGAUUUAUUUUGUGGGUUUUGCUUAUUUCAUUAUUUGUUUUAUGGGUUUGAUUACAAGUUUGAAACAAAGAUCUUGAACCCAAAGAUGGUUGUAUAUGUCUGGUGGUUGUCGAGGCCAACAAAAAUAAUAACCCUAAAUAUUACACACUAAAAUAGUGUAUAGUGGUAAAGGGGUCGAAUCCACGAAGAUUGGUUCAAUUUAUAACUCUAUGAAAAAUCUCUUUGUAAAAAUACUUAUAAAAUAACAAUAAAAAUAAAAUGGGGGGUUUUGGUGUUUUGAAAUACUUGAAACAAACUAGAAUUAACUAUGAUUUAAAUAGACAAUUUCAACAAAAAUAAGGGUGUGAUGUAAAAUCAAUAAGG